GAUGAACGCUGGCGGCGUGCUUAACACAUGCAAGUCGAUCGGAAAGGCCCAAGCUUGCUUGGGUACUCGAGUGGCGAACGGGUGAGUAACACGUGGGUGAUCUGCCCUGCACUUCGGGAUAAGCCUGGGAAACUGGGUCUAAUACCGGAUAGGACGAUGGUUUGGAUGCCAUUGUGGAAAGUUUUUUCGGUGUGGGAUGAGCUCGCGGGCUAUCAGCUUGUUGGUGGGGUAAUGGCCUACCAAGGCGUCGACGGGGAGCCGGCCUGAGAGGGUGUACGGCCACAUUGGGACUGAGAGACGGCCCAGACUCCGACGGGAGGCAGCAGUGGGGAAUAUUGGACAAUGGGCGCAGGCGUGAGGCAGCGACGCCGCGUGGGGGAUGACGGCCUUCGGGUUGUAAACUCCUUUCGCUGGGGACGAAGCGUUUUUGUGACGGUACCUGGAGAAGAAGCACCGGCUAACUACGUG
This 468-nucleotide ribosomal RNA is filed under the name uncultured bacterium. RNAcentral describes it as "partial 16S ribosomal RNA". It matches the Rfam family "Bacterial small subunit ribosomal RNA", at positions 28 to 507 of the family's 1533-position model. The record is from RNAcentral.